CCGAAGAGAAGGAAUAUACACAGAUCCUCCGAUCGCAGAUGCCUCCUCUUCCCCGGCGAACCAAAGGACAGCGUAGCGUAUCGUAGCCGAUCGUCUCUCUCUCCCGGGCCCCGUCUCUUCGCUGUGGAAAGAGAACGACGACGUCGAGACGUCGUCGUCGUCGGGUGUGCGGCUUGGUUUCGUACGGUUGGGUUCGGAGCUGCAACAGCGGCAGCAGAGCAUCCAGAAGGCAGCAACGGCUUCGAGCGGCAGUUGUGUCGUGUAUGCGGAGGGAUUCUCGGCGGAGCGGCGAGUACACCGAUGUACGAGAAAACAUACCAACGAUUAUCGGAGGUGCCGCAGCAGAAAUCGGAUCGGAUAACACCGGGGGAUAACAACAGUUUCACGAAAAGGAGGGAGGAAUUUUUUAAACUCAAUCAGCGGAGGGUGAGGAGGAUGCGCGAGGAGAUAAUCGAGGUGGCGGAGACACCCCGUGGCGGCGUCGGGGCGACCAGAGGUUCUCAUUGAGCUGGCGUACCCUGCACUGGACCUCGGGGGCUGU
Molecule: unclassified non-coding RNA, 541 nt
Filed under: Athalia rosae (coleseed sawfly)
Lineage: Eukaryota; Metazoa; Arthropoda; Insecta; Hymenoptera; Athaliidae
Description: misc RNA ENSAEAG00005006252.1
Source: RNAcentral